This 468-nucleotide ribosomal RNA is filed under the name uncultured bacterium. Its description in RNAcentral is "partial 16S ribosomal RNA". It matches the Rfam family "Bacterial small subunit ribosomal RNA", at positions 28 to 507 of the family's 1533-position model. The record is from RNAcentral.
GACGAACGCUGGCGGCGUGCUUAACACAUGCAAGUCGAACGGAAAGGCCCAGCUUUCGUGGGGUGCUAGUGUGGAGAACGGGUGUGUAACACGUGAGUAACCUGCUCUAGACUUUGGGAUAACUUCAGGAAACUGGGGCUUAUACCGGAUAGGAGUUCCUGCCGCGUGGUGGGGGUUGGAAAGUUUCGGCGGUUGGGGAUGGACUCGCGGCUUAUCAGCUUGUUGGUGGGGUAGUGGCUUACCAAGGCCUUGACGGGUAGCCGGCCUGAGAGGGUGACCGGCCACACUGGGACUGAGAUACGGCCCAGACUCCUACGGGAGGCAGCAGUGGGGAAUAUUGCACAAUGGGCGGAAGCCUGAUGCAGCGACGCCGCGUGCGGGAUGACGGCCUUCGGGUUGUAAACCGCUUUCGCCAGUGACGAAGCGUGAGUGACGGUAAUUGGUAAAGAAGCACCGGCUAACUACGUG